RNAcentral lists this ribosomal RNA (359 nucleotides) under uncultured Alphaproteobacteria bacterium. RNAcentral describes it as "bacterial SSU rRNA". It matches the Rfam family "Bacterial small subunit ribosomal RNA", at positions 350 to 726 of the family's 1533-position model. Lineage: Bacteria; Pseudomonadati; Pseudomonadota; Alphaproteobacteria. The record is from RNAcentral.
AGCAGUGGGGAAUCUUGGACAAUGGGGGCAACCCUGAUCCAGCCAUGCCGCGUGAGUGAUGAAGGCCUUAGGGUCGUAAAGCUCUUUCGCCUGUGAAGAUAAUGACUGUAGCAGGUAAAGAAACCCCGGCUAACUCCGUGCCAGCAGCCGCGGUAAUACGGAGGGGGUUAGCGUUGUUCGGAAUUACUGGGCGUAAAGCGCGCGUAGGCGGACUGGAAAGUUGGGGGUGAAAUCCCAGGGCUCAACCCUGGAACUGCCUCCAAAACUAUCAGUCUAGAGUUCGAGAGAGGUGAGUGGAAUUCCGAGUGUAGAGGUGAAAUUCGUAGAUAUUCGGAGGAACACCAGUGGCGAAGGCGRCA